Ictidomys tridecemlineatus (thirteen-lined ground squirrel) is the source of this 330-nucleotide non-coding RNA. The record is from Rfam. NCBI's taxonomy places the organism in Eukaryota, Metazoa, Chordata, Mammalia, Rodentia, Sciuridae.
GGUUUUGAAGGUGAUCUGACUGUGACAUCUGUCACCCAUUGAUCACAGGAGUUGAUUUGGUUGAUCUGGCUGGCUAGGCAGGUGUCCCCUUCCUCCCUCACCAUUCAAUGUGCAUCCCUCCUGAAGCUGUGUGCUUUUCAAAGAGGAUGAGCUUCCCUGGUAGAGGAGGACCAUUCUUCAAUCAAGGGUAUAUGAGUAACUGAGCUCCUCUGCUAGAACCUCCAAACAAGCUCUCAGGUUUUGCUUUGAAAUACACUUUACCUCAAUUUAAAAGUUUGGCAGAAUUUAUUUCUGAGAUGAAAUAUUCUGUAAGGAAUCUGUACUUUUGAA